Vicia faba (fava bean) is the source of this 243-nucleotide non-coding RNA. The record is from the annotation of a GenBank genome assembly. Lineage: Eukaryota; Viridiplantae; Streptophyta; Magnoliopsida; Fabales; Fabaceae.
AUGAACUUUCAGUUAGGUUCAGGUCUGAGCUGCGUCUGUAGAUACACCAAGUUCGGUGGUCAUAGUUCUCUUCGUCCAAAUUUUCGAGAGCAUUGCGGCUGUCCUGAACUUGUUUGGGUGCUGCUGUUAUAUCAGUUCGGUGUGGCGGGAUUCUCCGGGUUUCUAAGAUGGUUUGGCUUUCAGUUUUGCUUUGAUGUUAUUCUCCGGGUUUCUAAGAUGGUUUGGCUUUCAGUUUUGCUUUGA